CUCUAUCGAAUGAAAAGUUAUCUUAUAAACAUAUAUGUAAUACCUCUAUACUGCUAGUACAUUCAAAGUACAUUCCCCAACAUCAGAGUGUCGAAAUAUUGAAAA
Molecule: long non-coding RNA, 105 nt
Organism: Rhagoletis zephyria (snowberry fruit fly)
Lineage: Eukaryota; Metazoa; Arthropoda; Insecta; Diptera; Tephritidae
Source: RefSeq, a predicted model, not a curated record